Molecule: ribosomal RNA, 332 nt
Filed under: uncultured eukaryote
Lineage: Eukaryota
Description: partial 18S ribosomal RNA
Rfam family: Eukaryotic small subunit ribosomal RNA
Source: RNAcentral
CAAUAGCGUAUAUUAAAGUUGUUGCAGUUAAAAAGCUCGUAGUUGAAUUUCGGGUCCCCGCGCUCGGCGCUUCAUUGUGCCGUCGUGGUGUCCCUCCUCGCCGUAAGGCGUCCUUUACUGUGAAAAAAUUAGAGUGUUCAAAGCAGGCAAUCGCUUGAAUACAUUAGCAUGGAAUAAUAAGAUAGGAUCUUGUCUAUUUUGUUGGUUGCAGACAACGAUAAUGAUUAAUAGGGAUAGUUGGGGGUGUCCGUAUUGAGCUGCCAGAGGUGAAAUUCUUGGAUUUGCUCAAGACGAACUACUGCGGAAGCAUUCACCAAGGAUGUUUUCAUUAA